This is a long non-coding RNA of Lagenorhynchus albirostris (white-beaked dolphin), 743 nucleotides long. RefSeq lists it as uncharacterized. Lineage: Eukaryota; Metazoa; Chordata; Mammalia; Artiodactyla; Delphinidae. The transcript has 2 exons. The record is from RefSeq and is a predicted model, not a curated record.
CGAGCCUGACAAGUUUGAUGGUGGGCAACAUUCUCACUCAUAGAGCAUCACACCAGGAAAAUCAUCGGAACCAAUCAAAGCCACAACCGAACACUACGUUUUACAGCUGACUGAAUACAGAAAGCAGAGGAGUAACCGGCACAUUCUAAGGACCCAAAUGUCUUCAUAUCAGUAACGCCCAAGGAAAGGCUUCAUAUUACUUCCUAAAUAUUUUCUUGCAGUCAGUUUUCAAGAUGGCCGGCUGCUUGUCUCAAUAAGCGAGGUCCUGGAUACCUUAUCUAGAUGGAUUCUGCAGCACGUGGUCCACAAGGCACUGCAGAGAGCGGGGAAUAGACCCAAGCCUCCUUGGAAAGAGCUCCUUUGCUGUGCUUCAGGAGCGGACUCCACCUCCAGCACUUCAGGACUUCCCUGGUUAAGAAUGAGCUUGCCAAUGCAGGGGACAUGGGUUCCAUCCCUGGUCCGGGAAGAUCCUACAUGCCUUGGAGCAACUAAGCCCGUGCGCCACAACUACUGAAGUCCGCGCACUCUAGGGCCCACAUGUCGCAACUACUGAGCCCACAUGCUGCAACUACUGAAGCCCACGCACCUAGAGCUGCAAUCCACAAGAGAAGCCACUGCAAUGAGAAGCCCUUGCACCGCAACGAAGAGUAGCCCCUGCUGACCACAACUAGAGAAAGGCCGCACGCAGCAAGAAGACCCAACACAGCCAAAAAUAAUAAAUAAAUAAAUAAAUGACUUUUUCA